Molecule: ribosomal RNA, 189 nt
Filed under: uncultured Rhodoferax sp.
Lineage: Bacteria; Pseudomonadati; Pseudomonadota; Betaproteobacteria; Burkholderiales; Comamonadaceae
Description: partial 16S ribosomal RNA
Rfam family: Bacterial small subunit ribosomal RNA
Source: RNAcentral
GGCCCUUAUAGGUGGGGCUACACACGUCAUACAAUGGCUGGUACAAAGGGUUGCCAACCCGCGAGGGGGAGCCAAUCCCAUAAAGCCAGUCGUAGUCCGGAUCGUAGUCUGCAACUCGACUACGUGAAGUCGGAAUCGCUAGUAAUCGUGGAUCAGAAUGUCACCGGUGAAUAACGUUCCCGGGUCCUU